GAUGAACGCUGGCGGCGUGCCUAAUACAUGCAAGUCGAGCGAACGGACGAGAAGCUUGCUUCUCUGAUGUUAGCGGCGGACGGGUGAGUAACACGUGGAUAACCUACCUAUAAGACUGGGAUAACUUCGGGAAACCGGAGCUAAUACCGGAUAAUAUUUUGAACCGCAUGGUUCAAAAGUGAAAGACGGUCUUGCUGUCACUUCUAGAUGGAUCCGCGCUGCAUUAGCUAGUUGGUAAGGUAACGGCUUACCAAGGCAACGAUGCAUAGCCGACCUGAGAGGGUGAUCGGCCACACUGGAAUUGAGACACGGUCCAGACUCCUACGGGAGGCAGCAGUAGGGAAUCUUCCGCAAUGGGCGAAAGCCUGACGGAGCAACGCCGCGUGAGUGAUGAAGGUCUUCGGAUCGUAAAACUCUGUUAUUAGGGAAGAACAUAUGUGUAAGUAACUGUGCACAUCUUGACGGUACCUAAUCAGAAAGCCACGGCUAACUACGUG
This 497-nucleotide ribosomal RNA is filed under the name uncultured bacterium. RNAcentral's name for it is "partial 16S ribosomal RNA". It matches the Rfam family "Bacterial small subunit ribosomal RNA", at positions 28 to 507 of the family's 1533-position model. The record is from RNAcentral.